GUAUGGCGGCUUGGCUCGGAUUUCUCAGUGUGGCUGGGCGCGUGGGGCUGCGAUUCCUCGUCCCUGGGGUAUGCGCUGUUUUCAGCUGCUCUUUUAAGGGAGGAUAACCUGGAAGUACACAUUGAUUGAGAACCUGUCCAAAUAUUACACAAAUCUAACCAAGAAUCAAAUCCAAAACUUUGGACGUACUUGAAAACAGCAAGAGAGGACAAAUGGAGGGCGUGUGUCUACAUCAGCAAACUGCAUUCUUAUCAGAGAGAGGGGGCGAGCAAACCUUGAACGGACACAACUGAUUCACAGCCUUAACAUCGUGGAGAGAAGAAUGCCUCCGGAUACGACUUCCAG
Molecule: long non-coding RNA, 345 nt
Organism: Ailuropoda melanoleuca (giant panda)
Lineage: Eukaryota; Metazoa; Chordata; Mammalia; Carnivora; Ursidae
Exons: 3
Source: RefSeq, a predicted model, not a curated record